UUCGUCACACUAUCAUUAACUGAAUCCAUAGGUUAAUGAGGCGAACCGGGGGAACUGAAACAUCUAAGUACCCCGAGGAAAAGAAAUCAACCGAGAUUCCCCCAGUAGCGGCGAGCGAACGGGGAGCAGCCCAGAGCCUGAAUCAGUGUGUGUGUUAGUGGAAGCGUCUGGAAAGGCGCGCGAUACAGGGUGACAGCCCCGUACACAAAAAUGCACAUACUGUGAGCUCGAUGAGUAGGGCGGGACACGUGGUAUCCUGUCUGAAUAUGGGGGGACCAUCCUCCAAGGCUAAAUACUCCUGACUGACCGAUAGUGAACCAGUACCGUGAGGGAAAGGCGAAAAGAACCCCGGCGAGGGGAGUGAAAAAGAACCUGAAACCGUGUACGUACAAGCAGUGGGAGCACAGAGCAAUCUGUGUGACUGCGUACCUUUUGUAUAAUGGGUCAGCGACUUAUAUUCUGUAGCAAGGUUAACCGAAUAGGGGAGCCGAAGGGAAACCGAGUCUUAACUGGGCGUUAAGUUGCAGGGUAUAGACCCGAAACCCGGUGAUCUAGCCAUGGGCAGGUUGAAGGUUGGGUAACACUAACUGGAGGACCGAACCGACUAAUGUUGAAAAAUUAGCGGAUGACUUGUGGCUGGGGGUGAAAGGCCAAUCAAACCGGGAGAUAGCUGGUUCUCCCCG
This 683-nucleotide ribosomal RNA is filed under the name Escherichia coli. RNAcentral describes it as "partial 23S ribosomal RNA". It matches the Rfam family "Bacterial large subunit ribosomal RNA", at positions 139 to 861 of the family's 2925-position model. The record is from RNAcentral. Lineage: Bacteria; Pseudomonadati; Pseudomonadota; Gammaproteobacteria; Enterobacterales; Enterobacteriaceae.